This 497-nucleotide ribosomal RNA is filed under the name uncultured bacterium. Its description in RNAcentral is "partial 16S ribosomal RNA". It matches the Rfam family "Bacterial small subunit ribosomal RNA", at positions 28 to 507 of the family's 1533-position model. The record is from RNAcentral.
GAUGAACGCUGGCGGCGUGCCUAAUACAUGCAAGUCGAGCGAACAGACGAGGAGCUUGCUUUUCUGACGUUAGCGGCGGACGGGUGAGUAACACGUGGAUAACCUACCUAUAAGACUGGGAUAACUUCGGGAAACCGGAGCUAAUACCGGAUAAUAUAUUGAACCGCAUGGUUCAAUAGUGAAAGACGGUUUUGCUGUCACUUAUAGAUGGAUCCGCGCCGCAUUAGCUAGUUGGUAAGGUAACGGCUUACCAAGGCAACGAUGCGUAGCCGACCUGAGAGGGUGAUCGGCCACACUGGAACUGAGACACGGUCCAGACUCCUACGGGAGGCAGCAGUAGGGAAUCUUCCGCAAUGGGCGAAAGCCUGACGGAGCAACGCCGCGUGAGUGAUGAAGGUCUUCGGAUCGUAAAACUCUGUUAUUAGGGAAGAACAAAUGUGUAAGUAACUAUGCACGUCUUGACGGUACCUAAUCAGAAAGCCACGGCUAACUACGUG